GUUAGGAGCAGUUAACCUCUGCAGCUUCCAGGGAGAGCGCUAACAUUCAAUAUAUGCCAAACCCGGCCCAUUAGGUUGAAUAAUGAGUGAGUAUAUCUGAAGCUUUGUACCAGACAAGAUGAAAACAGAUUGGGCAGGCUAUUGUACCACACUUUAUUACCUAGUGAAAUGUAAUUUGAUCCAUUUGCAGGAGGAAGAACCAAGAUGCUUGUUUCAGAAUUCAAUUGCUCCAGAAAGAUGAAACCUAAGAAGAGAAAUGUAUCUUUGAGAUCCUACCGUGAUUUUGGACUUUGGCAACUGGGCCUUCAAGAAAACCAUCAAAAUCCAUGAAUCAUCCUAAAACAACAGGGGAAGCUGAGAAUGCUGCUCAAGGCCAUAUGUCUCACAAAGAAAGAGCAUUGCUUUUGAACUGCACUCACUGAGCCUGCUUGGGUUUUGAAAAUUAAUGGGAGAACUUCCUUGUUACAGUGGUCUUCUCUUAUGUCUCAGUAUCAUCCAGCACAGCAGUACUGAACGGGUAUGCAAAAAAAAAAACAAACCACCCCUCCAAAAAUCCCAGAAGUGAGAAUAUGCAAUGAAUGGAAUUGUUUUCAUUGUCCAAUUUGACUGAAACACAGAAGUCUUCUUCAUUAUUUAGAAACAAUGUCACUUCUCUUGUGAAAAACUGAUUUUUGAGACAAAAAUUAUUUAAAUUUUAAUGGAAACCCAAACAUGGGAAAUAUGUAGUCAAAUGUAAGCUCAAAAUAUAGUAUCAAGAUCAAAUGUUUACUCAUGGGCAACCGCUGAAAACCCCUUGAACUACAUGAAUUAAAACCAGAUGUUUUAAAUUAAAACACAUAAAUUACCGAUGCUGAUAUUACUAUAAAUUUCAAUGAUGAAAACACAUCAGUCAAGACUUUAAGGGAGAUUCUAAAGGUUACACAUAGGAGUAUUUUCCAUUAUUAAACAAAGUGUCACCUGAAGAAGUUCCCUGGAAGAGUGUAGGAGGACCUGUGCAAAGAAUCUCGGGUUACCGUGACAUGAUCCAACUAUUCCUGUUUUUAUUCUGAGUCAGGGCUGUGUAUCUCAGGCAUUUCUUUGUUUGGUUUCUGGUGUGUAUUCUGCCCUAACAAGGAGCUCCAUGUAUCCCAUUCUAUUUCCUGCUGGACAUUCCUCCCCAUCCCCUACCCAGAGAACACAGCUGGAACCAGUAACAUCCCUGCAAAUGAACUGAACUUUUAGGUUCAACCAUUGCAUCAUGCUUCAGGCUGCCUAGCAUCUUUCUAACACCAGUGUAAUUUGGUAUUAUUUCCACUAAACAACGGUCAAAUCUUGUAUAUAUGCAUGGAAA
Molecule: long non-coding RNA, 1330 nt
Filed under: Serinus canaria (Common canary)
Lineage: Eukaryota; Metazoa; Chordata; Aves; Passeriformes; Fringillidae
Description: lncRNA (ENSSCAG00000014307.1)
Source: RNAcentral